Parelaphostrongylus tenuis is the source of this 71-nucleotide non-coding RNA. The record is from the annotation of a GenBank genome assembly. Lineage: Eukaryota; Metazoa; Nematoda; Chromadorea; Rhabditida; Metastrongylidae.
ACCUCGGUGGUGUAGUGGUAGCACGUGUCCCCUCUAUGGAUGAAACGCGGGUUUGACUCCCGCCUAAGGUC